GAUGAACGCUGGCGGCGUGCCUAAUACAUGCAAGUCGAGCGAACGGACGAGAAGCUUGCUUCUCUGAUGUUAGCGGCGGACGGGCGAGUAACACGUGGAUAACCUACCUAUAAGACUGGGAUAACUUCGGGAAACCGGAGCUAAUACCGGAUGAUAUUUUGAACCGCAUGGUUCAAAAGUGAAAGACGGUCUUGCUGUCCCUCAUAGAUGGAUCCGCGCUGCAUUAGCUAGUUGGUAAGGUAACGGCUUACCAAGGCAACGAUGCAUAGCCGACCUGAGAGGGUGAUCGGCCACACUGGAACUGAGACACGGUCCAGACUCCUACGGGAGGCAGCAGUAGGGAAUCUUCCGCAAAGGGCGAAAGCCUGACGGAGCAACGCCGCGUGAGUGAUGAAGGUCUUCGGAUCGUAAAACUCUGUUAUUAGGGAAGAACAUAUGUGUAAGUAACUGUGCACAUCUUGACGGUACCUAAUCAGAAAGCCACGGCUAACUACGUG
Molecule: ribosomal RNA, 497 nt
Filed under: uncultured bacterium
Lineage: Bacteria
Description: partial 16S ribosomal RNA
Rfam family: Bacterial small subunit ribosomal RNA
Source: RNAcentral